UUCGCAAUGCCCGAAAGGGUGACGAAGCGACGCCGCGUGCGGGAAGAAGGCCUUCGGGUUGUAAACCGCUGUCGGGAGUUAAGAAAUGUAAGGAUGUUAAUAGCAUCUUUGCUUGACUAAGGCUCCGGAGGAAGCCACGGCUAACUCUGUGCCAGCAGCCGCGGUAAUACAGAGGCGGCAAGCGUUGUUCGGAAUUAUUGGGCGUAAAGAGCACGUAGGCGGCUAUGUAAGUCGGUUGUGAAAGCCUUCCGCUCAACGGGAGAACAGCAUCCGAUACUGCAUGGCUUGAGUGCGGGAGGGGAGAGUGGAACUUCUGGUGGAGCGGUGAAAUGCGUAGAUAUCAGAAGGAACGCCGGCGGCGAAAGCGGCUCUCUGGCCCAUAACUGACGCUGAGUGUGCGAAAGCUAGGGGAGCAAACGGAAUUAGAUACCCCGGUAGUCCUAGCCGUAAACGAUGGGCACUAAGUAGAGGGGUUUU
RNAcentral lists this ribosomal RNA (477 nucleotides) under uncultured bacterium. RNAcentral's name for it is "bacterial SSU rRNA". It matches the Rfam family "Bacterial small subunit ribosomal RNA", at positions 365 to 832 of the family's 1533-position model. The record is from RNAcentral.